GAUGAACGCUGACAGAAUGCUUAACACAUGCAAGUCUACUUGAAUUUGGGUCCUAGACUUAGAUUUGGGUGGCGGACGGGUGAGUAACGCGUAAAGAACUUGCCUCACAGUUAGGGACAACAUUUGGAAACGAAUGCUAAUACCUGAUAUUAUGAUUAUACGGCAUCGUAUAAUUAUGAAAGCUAUAUGCGCUGUGAGAGAGCUUUGCGUCCCAUUAGCUAGUUGGAGAGGUAACGGCUCACCAAGGCGAUGAUGGGUAGCCGGCCUGAGAGGGUGAACGGCCACAAGGGGACUGAGACACGGCCCUUACUCCUACGGGAGGCAGCAGUGGGGAAUAUUGGACAAUGGACCAAAAGUCUGAUCCAGCAAUUCUGUGUGCACGAUGACGUUUUUCGGAAUGUAAAGUGCUUUCAGU
This 415-nucleotide ribosomal RNA is filed under the name Fusobacterium sp. oral taxon 370. RNAcentral's name for it is "bacterial SSU rRNA". It matches the Rfam family "Bacterial small subunit ribosomal RNA", at positions 28 to 440 of the family's 1533-position model. Lineage: Bacteria; Fusobacteriati; Fusobacteriota; Fusobacteriia; Fusobacteriales; Fusobacteriaceae. The record is from RNAcentral.